AGAGUUUGAUCCUGGCUCAGAACGAACGCUGGCGGCGUGCUUAACACAUGCAAGUCGAACGCGAACGUCUUCUUCGGAAGACUAGUANAGUGGCGCACGGGUGAGUAACGCGUAAGUAAUCUACCACUGCAUCUGGGAUAACCCACCGAAAGGUGUGCUAAUACCGGAUACGUUUAUAGCUAUGCGAAUAGUUAUAAAGAAAGAUGGCCUCUUUUUUAAGCUAUUGUGCAGUGAGGAGCUUGCGUACCAUUAGCUAGUUGGUGGGGUAACGGCCUACCAAGGCGACGAUGGUUAGCGGGUCUGAGAGGAUGAUCCGCCACACUGGAACUGGAACACGGACCAGACUCCUACGGGAGGCAGCAGUGAGGAAUAUUGCGCAAUGGGGGAAACCCUGACGCAGCGACGCCGCGUGGAUGAUGAAGGCUUUCGAGUCGUAAA
Molecule: ribosomal RNA, 438 nt
Filed under: uncultured delta proteobacterium
Lineage: Bacteria; Deltaproteobacteria
Description: bacterial SSU rRNA
Rfam family: Bacterial small subunit ribosomal RNA
Source: RNAcentral